RNAcentral lists this ribosomal RNA (659 nucleotides) under uncultured bacterium. RNAcentral describes it as "bacterial SSU rRNA". It matches the Rfam family "Bacterial small subunit ribosomal RNA", at positions 257 to 909 of the family's 1533-position model. The record is from RNAcentral.
AGUAAGGCUCCCCAAGGCACGAUCCCUAGCUGGUUUAAGAGGAUGAUCAGCCACACUGGAACUAAGACACGGUCCAGACUCCUACGGAAGCCAGCAGUGGGGAAUAUUGCACAAUGGGCGCAAGCCUGAUGCAGCCAUGCGGCGUGUUUGAAGAAGGCCCUAGGGUUGUAAAGCACUUUCAGCGAGGAGGAAAGGUUAUAGUUUAAUAGACUAUAGCUGUGACGUUACUCGCAGAAGAAGCACCGGCUAACCUUCGUGCCAGCAGCCGCGGUAAUACGAGGGGUGCAAGCGUUAAUCGGAAUUACUGGGCGUAAAGCGUACGCAGGCGGUUUGUUAAGCGAGAUGUGAAAGCCCCGGGCUCAACCUGGGAACUGCAUUUCGAACUGGCAGACUAGAGUAUGAUAGAGGGUGGUAGAAUUUCAGGUGUAGCGGUGAAAUGCGUAGAGAUCUGAAGGAAUACCGAUGGCGAAGGCAGCCACCUGGGUCAAUACUGACGCUCAUGUACGAAAGCGUGGGGAGCAAACGGGAUUAGAUACCCCGGUAGUCCACGCCGUAAACGAUGUCUACUAGGAGCUGGAAUCUUCGGAUGACUUUUCCAAAGCUAACGCAUUAAGUAGNCCGCCUGGGGAGUACGGCCGCAAGGUUAAAACUCCUUUGAA